RNAcentral lists this long non-coding RNA (283 nucleotides) under Daucus carota (carrot). Its description in RNAcentral is "long non-coding RNA (DCAR_LNC007085)". The record is from RNAcentral. Lineage: Eukaryota; Viridiplantae; Streptophyta; Magnoliopsida; Apiales; Apiaceae.
CCCAAAUCUAGACAAACCCUAGCUGCCUCCGCUACUCCUUUUUUCAAUUCCGCGGCUCUUCGCAAAUCAUUUCAAUCUCUCUCCGUCUCUUCUCGCUCUCCUCGCAGCUUAGUCGUCAAGGCUGUAAGUCAUACUAUUUAUGUGUAAUUAAUUUACUUAAUUGAGGCGAUUAUGUUUAAUUUAGUGUUGGUUUUGUGUUUGUUCAGAGUGAGCUUCUCCUGGUUGGACAUGUGGCUUCGGAUUUCGAAGCUGAAGCUGUUUUCGAUCAGGAAUUUAUCAACGU